GGUUAAGCGACUAAGCGUACACGGUGGAUGCCCUGGCAGUCAGAGGCGAUGAAGGGCGUGCUAAUCUGCGAUAAGCGCCGGUAAGGUGAUAUGAACCGUUAUAACCGGCGAUACCCGAAUGGGGAAACCCAGUGUGACUCGUCACACUAUCAUUAACUGAAUCCAUAGGUUAAUGAGGCGAACCGGGGGAACUGAAACAUCUAAGUACCCCGAGGAAAAGAAAUCAACCGAGAUUCCCCCAGUAGCGGCGAGCGAACGGGGAGGAGCCCAGAGCCUGAAUCAGCAUGUGUGUUAGUGGAAGCGUCUGGAAAGGCGCGCGAUACAGGGUGACAGCCCCGUACACAAAAGCGCAUGUGCUGUGAGCUCGAUGAGUAGGGCGGGACACGUGGUAUCCUGUCUGAAUAUGGGGGGACCAUCCUCCAAGGCUAAAUACUCCUGACUGACCGAUAGUGAACCAGUACCGUGAGGGAAAGGCGAAAAGAACCCCGGCGAGGGGAGUGAAAAAGAACCUGAAACCGUGUACGUACAAGCAGUGGGAGCACCCUUUGGGUGUGACUGCG
Molecule: ribosomal RNA, 560 nt
Filed under: Salmonella enterica subsp. enterica serovar Enteritidis
Lineage: Bacteria; Pseudomonadati; Pseudomonadota; Gammaproteobacteria; Enterobacterales; Enterobacteriaceae
Description: partial 23S ribosomal RNA
Rfam family: Bacterial large subunit ribosomal RNA
Source: RNAcentral